UGAAAAAUUGAAAAUUUUUGAAAAAAAAAUUGUCGGAAAAGCGCGUUGCUGCCCCCCUUUGCUGCUUUCAAGUGUUGGCGUGCAGAAAAAUUGCAAAAUACAACCGCAAGAUAGAAAAUCCUUUUAGGCUGCGAAUUAAUAGCAAAAUCUGAAUAAUUAAGUACAAAAGACACGUCUGUGUCAUUGCUGCUUGCAAGUAUUGGUGUGUGGAGAAGUAGUUGUAAGCACAACCUGCAUAUAGAACAGCGUUUUAAGCUACGAACCAAUACCAAAACUGAUCAACUAGUCCC
Long non-coding RNA from Drosophila obscura, 290 nucleotides. RefSeq lists it as uncharacterized. The record is from RefSeq and is a predicted model, not a curated record. The transcript is spliced from 3 exons. NCBI's taxonomy places the organism in Eukaryota, Metazoa, Arthropoda, Insecta, Diptera, Drosophilidae.